GCGAUCGUAGCUCAAUUGGUAGAGCAGAAAACUUUUAAUUUUCGGGCCGUGGAUUCGAGUUCCGCCGGUCGCA
Molecule: transfer RNA, 73 nt
Filed under: Caudoviricetes sp.
Lineage: Duplodnaviria; Heunggongvirae; Uroviricota; Caudoviricetes
Description: tRNA-Lys
Rfam family: tRNA
About the family: Transfer RNA (tRNA) molecules are approximately 80 nucleotides in length. Their secondary structure includes four short double-helical elements and three loops (D, anti-codon, and T loops).
Source: RNAcentral